Molecule: transfer RNA, 67 nt
Filed under: Hylomyscus heinrichorum
Lineage: Eukaryota; Metazoa; Chordata; Mammalia; Rodentia; Muridae
Description: tRNA-Gly
Source: RNAcentral
ACUCUCUUAGUAUAACUAAAUAUAGCUGACUUCCAAUCAGUAGAUUCCGGCAUAACGGAAGAGAGUA